UGGGGAAUAUUGCACAAUGGGCGCAAGCCUGACCGAGCAACGCCGCGUGAGUGAAGAAGGUUUUCGGAUCGUAAAACUCUGUUGUUAGAGAAGAACAAGGACGUUAGUAACUGAACGUCCCCUGACGGUAUCUAACCAGAAAGCCACGGCUAACUACGUGCCAGCAGCCGCGGUAAUACGUAGGUGGCAAGCGUUGUCCGGAUUUAUUGGGCGUAAAGCGAGCGCAGGCGGUUUCUUAAGUCUGAUGUGAAAGCCCCCGGCUCAACCGGGGAGGGUCAUUGGAAACUGGGAGACUUGAGUGCAGAAGAGGAGAGUGGAAUUCCAUGUGUAGCGGUGAAAUGCGUAGAUAUAUGGAGGAACACCAGUGGCGAAGGCGGCUCUCUGGUCUGUAACUGACGCUGAGGCUCGAAAGCGUGGGGAGCAAACAGG
This 429-nucleotide ribosomal RNA is filed under the name Chloroflexota bacterium. Its description in RNAcentral is "Chloroflexi bacterium partial 16S ribosomal RNA". It matches the Rfam family "Bacterial small subunit ribosomal RNA", at positions 355 to 776 of the family's 1533-position model. The record is from RNAcentral. Lineage: Bacteria; Bacillati; Chloroflexota.